Molecule: ribosomal RNA, 465 nt
Filed under: Vreelandella stevensii
Lineage: Bacteria; Pseudomonadati; Pseudomonadota; Gammaproteobacteria; Oceanospirillales; Halomonadaceae
Description: partial 16S ribosomal RNA
Rfam family: Bacterial small subunit ribosomal RNA
Source: RNAcentral
CCUACGGGUGGCAGCAGUGGGGAAUAUUGGACAAUGGGCGAAAGCCUGAUCCAGCCAUGCCGCGUGUGUGAAGAAGGCCUUCGGGUUGUAAAGCACUUUCAGUGGGGAAGAAAGCCUUGGGGCUAAUACCCUCGAGGAAGGACAUCACCCACAGAAGAAGCACCGGCUAACUCCGUGCCAGCAGCCGCGGUAAUACGGAGGGUGCGAGCGUUAAUCGGAAUUACUGGGCGUAAAGCGCGCGUAGGCGGUCUGAUAAGCCGGUUGUGAAAGCCCCGGGCUCAACCUGGGAACGGCAUCCGGAACUGUCCGGCUAGAGUGCAGGAGAGGAAGGUAGAAUUCCCGGUGUAGCGGUGAAAUGCGUAGAGAUCGGGAGGAAUACCAGUGGCGAAGGCGGCCUUCUGGACUGACACUGACGCUGAGGUGCGAAAGCGUGGGUAGCAAACAGGAUUAGAUACCCCGGUAGUC